RNAcentral lists this ribosomal RNA (629 nucleotides) under uncultured bacterium. RNAcentral describes it as "bacterial SSU rRNA". It matches the Rfam family "Bacterial small subunit ribosomal RNA", at positions 57 to 676 of the family's 1533-position model. The record is from RNAcentral.
GCAGUCGACGGUAGCAGGAAGAAGCUUGCUUUCUUUGCUGACGAGUGUCGGACGGGUGAGUAAUGCUUGGGAAUCUGGCUUAUGGAGGGGGAUAACUGUGGGAAACUGCAGCUAAUACCGCGUAUUCUCUGAGGAGGAAAGGGUGGGACCUUAGGGCCACCUGCCAUAAGAUGAGCCCAAGUGGGAUUAGGUAGUUGGUGGGGUAAAGGCCUACCAAGCCUGCGAUCUCUAGCUGGUCUGAGAGGAUGACCAGCCACACUGGAACUGAGACACGGUCCAGACUCCUACGGGAGGCAGCAGUGGGGAAUAUUGCGCAAUGGGGGGAACCCUGACGCAGCCAUGCCGCGUGAAUGAAGAAGGCCUUCGGGUUGUAAAGUUCUUUCGGUAAUGAGGAAGGGAUGUUAUUAAAUAGAUAGCAUCAUUGACGUUAAUUACAGAAGAAGCACCGGCUAACUCCGUGCCAGCAGCCGCGGUAAUACGGAGGGUGCGAGCGUUAAUCGGAAUAACUGGGCGUAAAGGGCACGCAGGCGGACUUUUAAGUGAGAUGUGAAAUCCCCGAGCUUAACUUGGGAACUGCAUUUCAGACUGGGAGUCUAGAGUACUUUAGGGAGGGGUAGAAUUCCACGUGU